AUUUAUGGUUAUUUUCUACCUAAGACUCAGGUGACGGAAACGUCUUAAUAUCCUGCCGAGGAAUGAACGAACGUAUUCAACCUCUAUGUCUUGGUGGCAUGGAGCUUUUUUUUACGAAAA
Molecule: regulatory RNA element, 120 nt
Organism: Lactobacillus selangorensis
Lineage: Bacteria; Bacillati; Bacillota; Bacilli; Lactobacillales; Lactobacillaceae
Rfam family: Ribosomal protein L10 leader
About the family: This family is a putative r-protein leader autoregulatory structure found in B. subtilis and other low-GC Gram-positive bacteria. It is located in the 5' untranslated regions of mRNAs encoding ribosomal proteins L10 and L12 (rplJ-rplL). A Rho-independent transcription terminator structure that is probably involved in regulation is included at the 3' end.
Source: Rfam